Molecule: microRNA precursor, 165 nt
Filed under: Medicago truncatula (barrel medic)
Lineage: Eukaryota; Viridiplantae; Streptophyta; Magnoliopsida; Fabales; Fabaceae
Description: miR5759 stem-loop (mtr-MIR5759)
Source: miRBase by way of RNAcentral
AUAAUUUCUGAAGGGGGUGAAAAGAUUCAAAUAAUCGGUUAAGUGUGUGGUGGUCAUCUUAGCUUCUACAUUAUCCAACAAUAAUUGUGUAAGUAGUAUGUCUAAGAUAGCAGCCCUCACAAUCUAAUGUCUAUUGAAUCUUUUCUUCCCAUUUCAAAAGUUGUA